ACUCCUACGGGAGGCAGCAGUGGGGAAUCUUGCGCAAUGGGCGAAAGCCUGACGCAGCAACGCCGCGUGUGUGAUGAAGGUCUUCGGAUCGUAAAGCACUGUCGCGAGGGAAGAUACGCCAUCCGCUAACAUCGGGUGGCUGAGACGGUACCUCUAGAGGAAGCACCGGCUAACUCUGUGCCAGCAGCCGCGGUAAU
Molecule: ribosomal RNA, 197 nt
Filed under: uncultured bacterium
Lineage: Bacteria
Description: partial 16S ribosomal RNA
Rfam family: Bacterial small subunit ribosomal RNA
Source: RNAcentral